GACGAACGCUGGCGGCGUGCCUAAUACAUGCAAGUAGAACGCUGAAGGAGGAGCUUGCUUCUCCGGAUGAGUUGCGAACGGGUGAGUAACGCGUAGGUAACCUGCCUGGUAGCGGGGGAUAACUAUUGGAAACGAUAGCUAAUACCGCAUAAGAGUAGAUGUCGCAUGACAUUUGCUUAAAAGUUGCAACUGCACCACUACCAGAUGGACCUGCGUUGUAUUAGCUAGUUGGUGAGGUAACGGCUCACCAAGGCAACGAUACAUAGCCGACCUGAGAGGGGGAUCGGCCAGACUGGGACUGAGACAGGGCCCAGACUCCUACGGGAGGCAGCAGUAGGGAAUCUUCGGCAAUGGACGGAAGUCUGACCGAGAAACGCCGAGUGAGUGAAGAAGGUUUUCGGAUCGUAAAGCUCGGUUGUAAGAGAAGAACGAGUGUGAGAGUGGAAAGUUCACACUGUGACGGUAUCUUACCAGAAAGGGACGGCUAACUACGUG
RNAcentral lists this ribosomal RNA (495 nucleotides) under uncultured bacterium. RNAcentral's name for it is "partial 16S ribosomal RNA". It matches the Rfam family "Bacterial small subunit ribosomal RNA", at positions 28 to 507 of the family's 1533-position model. The record is from RNAcentral.